This 470-nucleotide long non-coding RNA is filed under the name Ananas comosus (pineapple). RNAcentral describes it as "long non-coding RNA (ACOM_LNC029796)". Lineage: Eukaryota; Viridiplantae; Streptophyta; Magnoliopsida; Poales; Bromeliaceae. The record is from RNAcentral.
AGCUUCAGAGAAGGUGCAGAAAGCCUGGUUGCAUGUUGGCUUAAAUAGAUCAGUAUCUUACUUCUAGCACAAGAUAAGAUUUGAUUGCGUCAUAUUCGAUAUGGCGUGAGGUCGAGUUGGGCCGAGUCAUAUUCGAAGUGGUGUGAGGCUGGUAGGAUUUAGUCGCAAUCCAGAUCCACAUGCGUUAUGUCUGUACACUUUAAGUGAAUUAGUUGUAUCUUUCUAAUAGCUCGAACUUUUAGGAUUAAUGGUUAGCGCCAACAAUCCGACAGUGCACCACAAGAGCGAAAAGAGAAGAGAAAGAUGGAAGAGAUUCAGAAAGAAAGUUCGAGUUGAGACUGUGUCGUUCUUUGUUGAGGCGACAAAUUUAUGAUAAAAUUUAAUUUGAUGUUUCCGUUAUCAGUACCGAAUUACAGUAACCGAUAUCAGAGUAGGUUACGAAUUCUCCUCUCAAGAUCCUAUAUCAUAUA